This 441-nucleotide ribosomal RNA is filed under the name uncultured bacterium. RNAcentral's name for it is "partial 16S ribosomal RNA". It matches the Rfam family "Bacterial small subunit ribosomal RNA", at positions 338 to 795 of the family's 1533-position model. The record is from RNAcentral.
CCUACGGGAGGCAGCAGUGGGGAAUAUUGCACAAUGGGGGAAACCCUGAUGCAGCGACGCCGCGUGAGUGAAGAAGUAUUUCGGUAUGUAAAGCUCUAUCAGCAGGAACGAGACAAGACGGUACCUGACUAAGAAGCCCCGGCUAACUACGUGCCAGCAGCCGCGGUACUACGUAGGGGGCAAGCGUUAUCCGGAAUCACUGGGUGUAAAGGGAGCGUAGACGGCUGUGCAAGCCUGAAGUGAAAGGCGGGGGCCCAACCCCUGGACUGCUUUGGGAACUGUACGGCUGGAGUGCAGGAGAGGUAAGUGGAAUUCCUAGUGUAGCGGUGAAAUGCGUAGAUAUUAGGAGGAACACCAGUGGCGAAGGCGGCUUACUGGACUGUAACUGACGUUGAGGCUCGAAAGCGUGGGGAGCAAACAGGAUUAGAUACCCGGGUAGUC